AUACGUAGGUGGCAAGCGUUGUCCGGAAUUAUUGGGCGUAAAGCGCGCGCAGGUGGUUCCUUAAGUCUGAUGUGAAAGCCCCCGGCUCAACCGGGGAGGGUCAUUGGAAACUGGGGAACUUGAGUGCAGAAGAGGAUAGUGGAAUUCCAAGUGUAGCGGUGAAAUGCGUAGAGAUUUGGAGGAACACCAGUGGCGAAGGCGAAUUGCUGGGCCUGAACUGGCCCUGGGGGGCGAAAGCGGGGGGAGCAAAAAGGAUUAAAUACCCUGGUAGUCCACGCCGUAAACGAUGAGGGCUAAGGGUUGGGGGGUUUCCGCCCCUCAGUGCUGCAGCUAACGCAUUAAGCACUCCGCCUGGGGAGUACGGUCGCAAGACUGAAACUCAAAUGAAUUGGCGGGG
This 397-nucleotide ribosomal RNA is filed under the name uncultured bacterium. RNAcentral's name for it is "partial 16S ribosomal RNA". It matches the Rfam family "Bacterial small subunit ribosomal RNA", at positions 523 to 918 of the family's 1533-position model. The record is from RNAcentral.